CAGGUAGGACUACCCCUU
This 18-nucleotide ribosomal RNA is filed under the name Thaxterogaster sp. H1446. RNAcentral describes it as "partial 28S ribosomal RNA". Lineage: Eukaryota; Fungi; Basidiomycota; Agaricomycetes; Agaricales; Cortinariaceae. The record is from RNAcentral.